UACGUAGGGGGCAAGCGUUGUCCGGAUUUAUUGGGCGUAAAGAGCGUGUAGGCGGUUUGGUAGGUCCGCUGUGAAAACUCGAGGCUCAACCUCGAGACGCCGGUGGAGACCAUCAGGCUAGAGUCCGGAAGAGGAGAGUGGAAUUCCUGGUGUAGCGGUGAAAUGCGCAGAUAUCAGGAAGAACACCCGUGGCUAAGGCGGCUCUCUAGUACGGUACUGACGCUGAGACGCGAAAGCGUGGGGAGCGAACAGG
Molecule: ribosomal RNA, 253 nt
Filed under: uncultured bacterium
Lineage: Bacteria
Description: partial 16S ribosomal RNA
Rfam family: Bacterial small subunit ribosomal RNA
Source: RNAcentral